RNAcentral lists this ribosomal RNA (440 nucleotides) under uncultured bacterium. RNAcentral describes it as "partial 16S ribosomal RNA". It matches the Rfam family "Bacterial small subunit ribosomal RNA", at positions 338 to 795 of the family's 1533-position model. The record is from RNAcentral.
CCUACGGGAGGCAGCAGUGGGGAAUAUUGCACAAUGGGGGAAACCCUGAUGCAGCGACGCCGCGUGAGUGAAGAAGCGCCUCGGCGCGUAAAGCUCUGUCAGCAGGAACGACGAUGACGGUACCUGAAGAAGAAGCCCCGGCUAACUACGUGCCAGCAGCCGCGGUAAUACGUAGGGGGCACGCGUUAUCCGGAUUUACUGGGUGUAAAGGGAGCGUAGACGGCGGGGCAAGUCUGGAGUGAAAGGCCGGGGCCCAACCCCGGGACCGCUCUGGAAACUGCCCGGCUGGAGUGCGGGAGAGGUAAGCGGAAUUCCUAGUGUAGCGGUGAAAUGCGUAGAUAUUAGGAGGAACCCCGAUUGCGAAGGCAGCUUGCUGCAGCGGAACUGACGCUGAUGCUCGAAAGCGCGGGUAUCGAACAGGAUUAGAUACCCUUGUAGUC